Molecule: long non-coding RNA, 125 nt
Organism: Sinocyclocheilus rhinocerous
Lineage: Eukaryota; Metazoa; Chordata; Actinopteri; Cypriniformes; Cyprinidae
Exons: 4
Source: RefSeq, a predicted model, not a curated record
CGCAAAUGUAAAUAUCGCAAUAUGCAUAUCGCAACAGCGUGCGAUAUCAUUAUCAUUUUAAUAAUUGCCUACUUAAAUCAAAACCUUGCAAAAGGUCAAAGUUUUUGUUUGACGCAUAUAGCUGA